Molecule: long non-coding RNA, 1768 nt
Organism: Oncorhynchus kisutch (coho salmon)
Lineage: Eukaryota; Metazoa; Chordata; Actinopteri; Salmoniformes; Salmonidae
Exons: 2
Source: RefSeq, a predicted model, not a curated record
AGUCCCCUAUUAUUAUGUAGUCCCCUAUUAUUAUGUAGUCCCCUAUUCCCUAUGUAGUCCCCUAUUAUUAUAUAGUCCACUGUAUAGGGACUAGGGUGCCGUUAGGGACUCAGUCUGGGUAUUUAACAAUGGCUACUCAUGCUGACUCAUCAGAACUAUACUAGACGUCUUCAUGUGAGGAACAUUAUGCAUUCUGUUUAGAUGAGCAGGAUACCAGGUGAAACAGACUGUUUAGAUGACCAGGAUACCAGGUGAAACAUUAUGUUUAGAUGACCAGGAUACCAGGUGAAACAUUGUUUAGAUGACCAGGAUACCAGGUGAAACAUUAUGUUUAGAUGACCAGGAUACCAGGUGAAACAUACUGUUUAGAUGACCAGGAUACCAGGUGAAACAUACUGUUUAGAUGACCAGGAUACCAGGUGAAACAUUGUUUAGAUGACCAGGAUACCAGGUGAAACAUUGUUUAGAUGAGCAGGAUACCAGGUGAAACAUUGUUUAGAUGAGCAGGAUACCAGGUGAAACAUUGUUUAGAUGACCAGGAUACCAGGUGAAACAUUGUUUAGAUGACCAGGAUACCAGGUGAAACAUUGUUUAGAUGACCAGGAUACCAGGUGAAACAUUGUGUUUUAGAUAACCAGGAUACCAGGUGAAACAUUGUGUUUUAGAUGACCAGGAUACCAGGUGAAACAUUGUGUUUUAGAUGACCAGGAUACCAGGUGAAACAUUGUGUUUUAGAUGACCAGGAUACCAGGUGAAACAUUGUGUUUUAGAUGACCAGGAUACCAGGUGAAACAUUGUGUUUUAGAUGACCAGGAUACCAGGUGAAACAUUGUGUUUUAGAUGACCAGGAUACCAGGUGAAACAUUUGCCUGAAGACUCAAACUGAAUUCUCCCUCUAUGUUCUCAACACACUUCAGUCUGAGACUGCCGCCAUUGAAGUAGUUUGUGCUGACAAAACGAUAAUCACGCGAUUUGGAUUGUUUUUAAACCUAUCAGAACAUCAAAGCCAAUGACACGUUUUCAAAACGCCAUUUUACCCACGUGUGUUCUGGCUCUGGGCCCAACCCAUCGGUUUCUGGACCAAUCAGUACAAUUAGAGUGUUUUUCCAUUCUAGACCUUGUCGGAGAGGGAGUCAGACCCAGACGAUGAGUCUGAGUAGCCAGACAACUGGAAAAGGAUACGUGUUCCAUGUGGAUUAAUACAGGUACACACACACGCUCUCUCACUGGACAGUUUAUUAGGCACACCCAUCUAGUACUGGGUCAGACCCCCGCCCGACCCCACUUUGCCUCCAGAACAGCCUGAAUUCUUUGGGGGGAUUCUACAAGGUGUCGGAAACCUAUUCCAUCUCAUCCCGAAGAUGCUCCGUUGGGUUGAGGUCUAGUUCUGCACACCACCGAGGUACUGCGCUGUUAUUUUCCCUGUUUUGUGGGACCGCCUGUUCCCUCGCACGAUUCUUUCCCUUGUCCUCGGACGAGCUGUUUUCACCCACAGGACUGCCGCUCACUGGAUGUUUGUCGAGGCGUUUUUCGGUAAACCCUAGACACUGUCGUGUGUGAAAAGCCCGGUUAAGGCGGUCGACGAUCGUACCACGCUCAAAGGUCAAUCGUUUUUGUCCCUUCUAACGUUCAAUGGAACAGUAACUGAAUGCCUGUCUGCCUGCUUUAUAUAACAAGCCACGGUCACGUGACUCAGUGUCUGUAGGAGGGAACCAUUUUUUUUGUGAACGUGGGUGGUGUACCUAAUAAACUGUCCAGUGAGUGUUUA